Molecule: ribosomal RNA, 134 nt
Filed under: uncultured eukaryote
Lineage: Eukaryota
Description: partial small subunit ribosomal RNA
Rfam family: Eukaryotic small subunit ribosomal RNA
Source: RNAcentral
CCCUGCCUUUUGUACACACCGCCCGUCGCAUCAAGGAACUCAACUAGGGCAAUGAGCCUGCUGGACGCAAGGAAAGCAGGCAAAUAGCCUUAGUCUUACCAUGAUGAAGUCGUAACAAGGUAUCCGUAGGUGAA